RNAcentral lists this unclassified non-coding RNA (542 nucleotides) under Hevea brasiliensis (rubber tree). Lineage: Eukaryota; Viridiplantae; Streptophyta; Magnoliopsida; Malpighiales; Euphorbiaceae. The record is from RNAcentral.
UAUGAGUUGUGAUUUUUAAUUUACUAAUUCAGUUCAACCACAAUACCAGAUGCAGUAAAAACAGGUCAAUGGAAUAUCGCACUCAUCGUAACCAUAAAAGAAAGAGUGAGCUUCAUACAGAAACACCAAAAGGUUGUGAAAACAUAAUAUCCAUUAUAAAUAUUCAGAUUCAGACUAAUUGUAUACGGUAGUACUAAGCAACUCAUGCUCUUACCAGUGUGCGGCUGUGUGCUCAUCAUAUAUCUUAUUGAGCAUCAAAGUUCAAUGCAUGACAGUUCUAUAUAUUGUUGUACGUGACAGUGUGACACUGGUCAUUUGCCCCUCAUAUAUAUAGAAAAAGUUCAUCAGGGGUUCUUUCCAUGUAUAAUUUUAGGUUUAUUUUUAGCAAGUAUACAAACACACCCCAGCACAUAGGCAUAUUUUUAGAUAAUGAUUCACAGAAGAAAUAAGAUAAUACAGUGACAUGGAACGAACAGUUAAAAAAGAGAAGGGAAAAUCUUACUUCAAAAAUAUUAAAACAGAUCAUAUAAACCAAAUCCAAA